AGAGUUUGAUCAUGGCUCAGAAUCAACGCUGGCGGCGUGCCUAACACAUGCAAGUCGAACGCGAAAGUCCCGCAAGGGAUAAGUAGAGUGGCAAACGGGUGAGUAACACGUGGGUGACCUGCCUUCGAGUGGGGGAUAACGUCCCGAAAGGGACGCUAAUACCGCAUAACAUCCUGCCUUUGAAGAGGUGGAGAUCAAAGCUGGGGAUCGCAAGACCCGGCACUUGAAGAGGGGCCCGCGUCUGAUUAGCUAGUUGGUGGGGUAAUGGCCUACCAAGGCAACGAUCAGUAUCCGGCCUGAGAGGGCGGACGGACACACUGGGACUGAGACACGGCCCAGACUCCUACGGGAGGCAGCAGUGGGGAAUUGUUCGCAAUGGGCGCAAGCCUGACGACGCAACGCCGCGUGGAGGAUGAAGAUCUUCGGGUCGUAAACUCCUGUCGAAUGGGACGAACAGAUUGCGGGUUAACAGCCCGUGGUCCUGACGGUACUGUUAAAGGAAACCCCGGCUAACUCCGUGCCAGCAGCCGCGGUAAUACGGGGGGGGUAAGCGUUGUUCGGAAUUACUGGGCGUAAAGGGCUCGUAGGCGGCCAACUAAGUCAUACGUGAAAUCCCUCAGUUUAACUGGGGAACUGCAUGUGAUACUGGAUGGCUUGGAUUCGGGAGAGGGAUGCGGAAUUCCAGGUGUAGCGGUGAAAUGCGUAGAUAUCUGGAGGAACACCGGUGGCGAGGGCGGCAUCCUGGACCGAUAUUGACGCUGAGGAGCGAAAGCCAGGGGAGCAAACGGGAUUAGAUACCCCGGUAGUCCUGGCCCUAAACGAUGAAUGCUUGGUGUAGCGGGUAUCGAUCCCUGCUGUGCCGAAGCUAACGCAUUAAGCAUUCCGCCUGGGGAGUACGGUCGCAAGGCUGAAACUCAA
This 918-nucleotide ribosomal RNA is filed under the name uncultured bacterium. RNAcentral's name for it is "bacterial SSU rRNA". It matches the Rfam family "Bacterial small subunit ribosomal RNA", at positions 8 to 904 of the family's 1533-position model. The record is from RNAcentral.